RNAcentral lists this ribosomal RNA (494 nucleotides) under uncultured haloarchaeon. RNAcentral's name for it is "bacterial SSU rRNA". It matches the Rfam family "Archaeal small subunit ribosomal RNA", at positions 333 to 826 of the family's 1478-position model. Lineage: Archaea; Methanobacteriati; Methanobacteriota; Halobacteria; Halobacteriales; Halobacteriaceae. The record is from RNAcentral.
CAGCAGGCGCGAAACCUUUACACUGCACGCCAGUGCGAUAAGGGGACUCCAAGUGCGAGGGCAUAUCGUCCUCGCUAUCCUGUACUGUAGGGUAGUACAGUAUCAAGAGCUGGGCAAGACCGGUGCCAGCCGCCGCGGUAAUACCGGCAGCUCGAGUGAUGGCCAAUCUUAUUGGGCCUAAAGCGUCCGUAGCUGGCCGCGCAAGUCCGUCGGGAAAUCCAUCAGCCCAACUGAUGGGCGUCCGGCGGAAACUGCACGGCUUGGGACCGGAAGGCUCGAGAGGUACGUCCGGGGUAGGAGUGAAAUCCCGUAAUCCCGAACGGACCACCGAUGGCGAAAGCAUCUCGAGAAAACGGAUCCGACAGUGAGGGACGAAAGCUAGGGUCUCGAACCGGAUUAGAUACCCGGGUAGUCCUAGCCGUAAACGAUGUUCGCUAGGUGUGGCACUGGCUACGAGCCAGUGCUGCGCCGUAGGGAAGCCGAGAAGCGAACCG